This 252-nucleotide ribosomal RNA is filed under the name uncultured bacterium. RNAcentral describes it as "partial 16S ribosomal RNA". It matches the Rfam family "Bacterial small subunit ribosomal RNA", at positions 524 to 776 of the family's 1533-position model. The record is from RNAcentral.
UACGUAGGUCCCGAGCGUUGUCCGGAUUUAUUGGGCGUAAAGCGAGCGCAGGUGGUUUAUUAAGUCUGGUGUAAAAGGCAGUGGCUCAACCAUUGUAUGCAUUGGUAACUGGUAGACUUGAGUGCAGGAGAGGAGAGUGGAAUUUCAUGUGUAGCGGCGAAAUGCGUAGAUAUAUGGAGGAACACCGGUGGCGAAAGCGGCUCUCUGGCCUGUAACUGACACUGAGGCUCGAAAGCGUGGGGAGCAAACAGG